RNAcentral lists this long non-coding RNA (201 nucleotides) under Gallus gallus (chicken). Lineage: Eukaryota; Metazoa; Chordata; Aves; Galliformes; Phasianidae. The record is from RNAcentral.
AGGAGGAGGUUUUUCACUCAGAGGGUGGUGAUGCACUGGAACAGGUUGCCCAAGGAGGCUGUGGAUGCCCCAUCCCUGGAGGCAUUCAAGGCCAGGCUGGAUGUGGCUCUGGGCAGCCUGGUCUGGUGGUUGGCGACCCUGCACAUAGCAGGGGGUUGGAACUGGAUGAGCAUUGUGGUCCUUUUCAACCCAGGCCAUUCU